AUGGCUCUGAUGUGUCGGGUUAAUGAAUUUAUAUGGUCUAAUAUGUAGAUGAAAAUAAAAAUAAAUAUACAUUUAAAAAUAAAUAUAAAAUUAUAGUGGUAAACAGAAAUAUAGAAAUCAAAUAGAUAAAUACAUAAAACUAUAAUAUAUUGUAUAUUAUUGUAACAUAACAUAUAAAUUAUAGUCUAUUAUAUAUGUAAACAAAGAUAUAUAACUAUAGAAUGUAAAUAUAAAAACAGUAAAAUAAAUUGGAGAAUUUUUUUUGUUUUUUUAGGUUAUAGGCUGGGUUUUAUAAUAAAUGUGGUGGUGGGCUUUGCUGCAGCUGGAAUUUGUAUCUAUUUCAGGAAGCGUCAUACAGUAUAUCCUGCAAUUUAAUAGAUCCCCUGCUAUGUUAGUUGUAGUGGAAGAAGCUGAAUGAAACCAGGACACUGAACUUUGGUGCACCAAACCCCUGCCAAUAACAGGUUUUCAAAUAACAAACCCACAGUUUACAACAAUGUUAAAAGCCCAGCCUACAAAAAUACCAAACUCCCAGCCAAAAAAAAAUACUAAAAACUUGGCCUACAAAAAUAUCGAACAAACCAGCCUAUAAAAAACUGCAUUUCAAAAUACCAGAACAACCUAGUUUCAAAAUAAUAGGAAACCCAAUUUCAAGGUACACAGGAGGUGAGGGCUGCGGGGCAGAGGGACCGGUUGAGGGGUAAAGGGAGAGGCCUUGAGGGCUGGACAGUCCAGUGGAGAUCAGGGGUACAGGAUACAGCUGUACCACCCCCUCACCCCAGCCCUAACCUCAGCCUAACCAGCUCCCCUAAAAACAGCCUUUUCCCCCAACAGCAGCACAACACAGCAACCCUAACAGCGAGACCAGAGAGCAACCCUCACACACCAGGACAAUGACAGAACCCUCAGAGAACAACAGACCCACUGCGGCUAGAGAGCAACAGCAGGUGUUUCUGGGCAUCUAAAGCAUAGAGGCUUUGAAGAUUCUGUGAAGUAAACAGCAUGGAAUACAGGGAGUAUUUAGACUCAUGAUUUUGGCUUUUGUGUUUAGGGGUGGUAAAGUGCAUUUGUAAUUUCUGGUUUUGUUCUUGUUUUGUUUUGUAUUUUUUUUAGGAGGAGCGCAGCAUCCAGAGAUUCCUGGUUGUGUCAAGUACAACACUUUUUUCAGCAGAUUCAUCAUGUCACAAGAGGGAUCCGCCCAGUGUCAAGGAUGAUGUCUGAGAUUGAGGCAUCAGGAACCCCACCCUCUCCUAAUCAGGACCCCCAGCCGACACCAAUCAAGCCUAAUCAGCACCCCCAGCUGACACCAAUCAAGCCUAAUCAGUACCCCCAGCUGACACACCCCCAGCUGACACCAAUCAAGCCUAAUCAG
Molecule: long non-coding RNA, 1372 nt
Organism: Zonotrichia leucophrys gambelii
Lineage: Eukaryota; Metazoa; Chordata; Aves; Passeriformes; Passerellidae
Exons: 3
Source: RefSeq, a predicted model, not a curated record